RNAcentral lists this ribosomal RNA (332 nucleotides) under uncultured bacterium. RNAcentral's name for it is "bacterial SSU rRNA". It matches the Rfam family "Bacterial small subunit ribosomal RNA", at positions 30 to 342 of the family's 1533-position model. The record is from RNAcentral.
AGUGAACGCUGGCGGCAGGCCUAACACAUGCAAGUCGAGCGGCAGCGGGUUCCCGCGAGGGGAUGCCGGCGAGCGGCGGACGGGUGAGGAACACAUCGGAAUCUGCCUGGGUUGUGGGGGAUAACGUAGGGAAACUUACGCUAAUACCGCAUGAGACCCUGAGUCGACGGACUGGGGGUNAAAGUGAGGGACCUUCGGGCCUCACGCGACCAGAUGAGCCGAUGUCGGAUUAGCUAGUUGGCGGGGUAACGGCCCGCCAAGGCGACGAUCCGUAGCUGGUCUGAGAGGAUGAUCAGCCACACUGGGACUGAGACACGGCCCAGACUCCGUAC